This is a non-coding RNA of Triticum aestivum (bread wheat), 115 nucleotides long. Lineage: Eukaryota; Viridiplantae; Streptophyta; Magnoliopsida; Poales; Poaceae. The record is from Rfam.
CAAGUACUCUCUCCGUCCGGAAUUAAUUGUCAUCAAAAUGGAUGUGUCUAGAACUAAAAUACAUCUAGAUACAUCCAUUUCAAUGACAAGUAUUUUCGGACGGAGGGAGUACAAA